Molecule: ribosomal RNA, 468 nt
Filed under: uncultured bacterium
Lineage: Bacteria
Description: partial 16S ribosomal RNA
Rfam family: Bacterial small subunit ribosomal RNA
Source: RNAcentral
GACGAACGCUGGCGGCGUGCUUAACACAUGCAAGUCGAACGGAAAGGCCCUGCUUUUGUGGGGUGCUCGAUUGGCGAACGGGUGAGUAACACGUGAGUAACCUGCCCUUGACUUUGUGAUAACUUCAGGAAACUGGGGCUCAUAUCGGAUAGGAUCUCCUGCUGCAUGGUGGGGGUUGGAAAGUUUCGGCUGUUGGGGCUGGACUCGCGGCUUAUCCGCUUGUUGGUGGGGUAGUUGCUUACGAAGGCUUUGACGGGUAGCCGGCCUGAGCGGGGUAACGGCCACAAGGGGACUGAGAGACGGACCAGAAGGGAACGGGAGGCAGCGGGGGAAAAUAUGACGGAGUAGGGGGGAGUGAGAGGCAGAAACGCCGCGAGCGGGAUGACGGCCUUCGAGUUGUAAACAGAUGUGGAAGGUGACGAGGCGUGAGUGACGGUAAUGGGUAAAGAAGCACCGGCUAACUACGUG